UACAGAGGGCGCGAGCGUUGUCCGGAAUUACUGGGCGUAAAGGGCGCGUAGGCGGCCUUCUAAGUCGAACGUGAAAUCCCCGGGCUCAACCCGGGAACUGCGUCCGAGACUGGAAGGCUUGAAUCCGGGAGAGGGAUGUGGAAUUCCAGGUGUAGCGGUGAAAUGCGUAGAUAUCUGGAGGAACAACCGUGGCGAAGGCGGCAUCCUGGACCGGUAUUGACGCUGAGGCGCGAAAGCCAGGGGAGCAAACGGG
This 253-nucleotide ribosomal RNA is filed under the name uncultured bacterium. RNAcentral's name for it is "partial 16S ribosomal RNA". It matches the Rfam family "Bacterial small subunit ribosomal RNA", at positions 524 to 776 of the family's 1533-position model. The record is from RNAcentral.